This 253-nucleotide ribosomal RNA is filed under the name uncultured bacterium. RNAcentral describes it as "partial 16S ribosomal RNA". It matches the Rfam family "Bacterial small subunit ribosomal RNA", at positions 524 to 776 of the family's 1533-position model. The record is from RNAcentral.
UACGUAGGGUCCGAGCGUUGUCCGGAAUUACUGGGCGUAAAGCGCGUGUAGGCGGUUUUCCAAGUUGGGUGUGAAAGCCUUGGGCUUAACCCAAGAAAUGCACUCAGUACUGGAAGACUAGAGGACCGGAGAGGAUAGUGGAAUUCCCAGUGUAGUGGUGAAAUACGUAGAGAUUGGGAAGAACACCAGUGGCGAAGGCGGCUAUCUGGACGGUUUCUGACGCUAAGACGCGAAAGCGUGGGGAGCAAAUAGG